This 775-nucleotide ribosomal RNA is filed under the name uncultured Neocallimastigales. RNAcentral's name for it is "partial large subunit ribosomal RNA". It matches the Rfam family "Eukaryotic large subunit ribosomal RNA", at positions 24 to 624 of the family's 3401-position model. Lineage: Eukaryota; Fungi; Neocallimastigomycota; Neocallimastigomycetes; Neocallimastigales. The record is from RNAcentral.
UAUCUCUGUAGAGUCUGCAUAUCAAUAAGCGGAGGAAAAGAAACUAACAGGGAUUCCCCUUAGUAACGGCGAGUGAAGCGGGAAGAGCUCAAAUUUGAAAUCUUCAAGGUUUGACCUUGACGAAUUGUAGUUUAAAGAAGUGUCCUUCGGUUAGAGGAGUAGUAAAAGUUCUUUGGAAUAGGACAUCAUAGAGGGUGAGAAUCCCGUAUUUGACUAUUCUUUCUAGCUUUGUGAUACACUUUCAAAGAGUCGGAUUGUUUGGGAAUGCAGUCCAAAAUGGGUGGUAAAUUUCAUCUAAAGCUAAAUAUUGGCGAGAGACCGAUAGCGAACAAGUACCGUGAGGGAAAGAUGAAAAGAACUUUGAAAAGAGAGUUAAACAGUACGUGAAAUUGUCAAAAGGGAAGCGUUUGACACCAGUGUUGUUUUUCCGAAAAUCAAUUAAAAAUUGAUUCAUGCCAGGUUGUAUUGACCUUAUCAGCUUGCAAUUUGGUUUUGGGUCUCUUUUUGAUGCACUUUUCGGUUAACAAGUCAACAUCAAUUUCCUUUGCUGUAAAAAGGUAAGAGGAAGGUGGCUUCAAUUUCGGUUGAAGUGUUUAUAGCCUUUUAUCUCUGCAGUCGGGGAGAUUGAGGUCUGCAGCGUAGAUCCUUCGGGGCUAGAUACAUUUAUGCUAAGCUAUAGCUUUUCAUAGACAACUUGUUGACUAUGUUUAGUCAUGUAGCUUACUCGUAAGUGCUAUUUUACCUACGCUUAGGAUGUUGAAGACUCUACAGAGAU